GCCGCUUCAGCUCGGUAGAUGGAGCAAGUGCCUGUAAACAGUAGGCCAUCCGUUCGAUUCGGAUAAGCGCACCA
This 74-nucleotide transfer RNA is filed under the name Stenotrophomonas maltophilia. RNAcentral describes it as "tRNA-OTHER". RNAcentral also lists the same sequence under 2 other names. Lineage: Bacteria; Pseudomonadati; Pseudomonadota; Gammaproteobacteria; Lysobacterales; Lysobacteraceae. The record is from RNAcentral.